Molecule: small RNA, 554 nt
Filed under: Pongo abelii (Sumatran orangutan)
Lineage: Eukaryota; Metazoa; Chordata; Mammalia; Primates; Hominidae
Description: retained intron
Source: RNAcentral
AGCCGCAGCCGCCGCCACAGUCCGGGCCGGGCUCCACCGCGCGUCCGGUUCCACGCUGGCGACCGCCCCCGGGGCCCCCGCCGCGGGCGCGGCGCCCGCCAUGGGCGAGGAGGAUUACUACCUGGAGCUGUGCGAGCGGCCAGUGCAGUUCGAGAAGGCGAACCCUGUCAACUGCGUCUUCUUCGAUGAGGCCAACAAGCAGGUUUUUGCUGUUCGAUCUGGUGGAGCUACUGGUGUGGUAGUUAAAGGCCCAGAUGAUAGGAAUCCCAUCUCAUUUAGGUAAUAGUAUAGACACUUUCAGAUCAUUUUAUCAUGUAAACAGAAUGAUGUUUUUCUAAUUCAAAAGGUUUUUUAUAAUUUUGUCAUUUGGUGUGCCCUAAGAGGCCUGAAGUGUGUGUGCGCACAUGGAAUCCCUGUCUGUAGGGAGGGUCUUGGUGGCACUUACUAGCACCUCUUGUCAGAGUGGAAUAUCUGGAGCAGUUGAUUUGGGAGCCAAAUACUUCAAAAGUGGGGCAGCCACUUCCUAGCACCGGAAAUUAACAAGUCAGCGUGAU